Molecule: ribosomal RNA, 253 nt
Filed under: uncultured bacterium
Lineage: Bacteria
Description: partial 16S ribosomal RNA
Rfam family: Bacterial small subunit ribosomal RNA
Source: RNAcentral
UACGUAGGGUGCGAGCGUUGUCCGGAAUUAUUGGGCGUAAAGGGCUCGUAGGCGGUUUGUCGCGUCGGGAGUGAAAAUCCAGGGCUUAACUCUGGACUGGCUUUCGAUACGGGCAGACUAGAGGUAUGCAGGGGAGAACGGAAUUCCUGGUGUAGCGGUGAAAUGCGCAGAUAUCAGGAGGAACACCGGUGGCGAAGGCGGUUCUCUGGGCAUGAUCUGACGCUGAGGAGCGAAAGCGUGGGGAGCGAACAGG